This is a non-coding RNA of Pelobates cultripes (western spadefoot toad), 348 nucleotides long. NCBI's taxonomy places the organism in Eukaryota, Metazoa, Chordata, Amphibia, Anura, Pelobatidae. The record is from the annotation of a GenBank genome assembly.
GAAAAAAACAAUAUAUAAUUUGUAUGGGAACAGCAAAUGAGAGAGAGGAAAAUUACAGCUAAACACAAACACCACAAAAGUGUUAAAACAGCCCUGGUCCUUAACAUACAACAUGGCCAAAACAGUCUGGUCCUUAAGGGGUUAAAACAUGAACAAAAAACUAAAAAUAACACUGUGUAUAUCUAAGUAAUUUACAUUUUUAGACAUCUAUGAACAACAAUUUAUAUACCAGGGCCCAAAAUGUAUACUCUUCACUAGCCAUUAAAGGGACAUUCCAGGCACCCAAACCACUUCUGCCCAUUGGGGUGGCCUGGGUGCCAACUCCCACUACCCUUAACCCUGCAGCUG